ACUACCGAUUGAAUGGUUUAGUGAGGCCUUCUGACUGGCGCCGCUACUCUGGCAACAGAGCGGCGGAUGCCGGGAAGUUGGUCAAACUUGAUCAUUUAKAGGAAGUAAAAGUCGUAACAAGGUUUCCGUAGGUGAACCUGCGGAAGGAUCAUUACCGA
RNAcentral lists this ribosomal RNA (158 nucleotides) under Goniopora sp. RNAcentral describes it as "partial 18S rRNA". It matches the Rfam family "Eukaryotic small subunit ribosomal RNA". The record is from RNAcentral. Lineage: Eukaryota; Metazoa; Cnidaria; Anthozoa; Scleractinia; Poritidae.